Molecule: ribosomal RNA, 468 nt
Filed under: uncultured bacterium
Lineage: Bacteria
Description: partial 16S ribosomal RNA
Rfam family: Bacterial small subunit ribosomal RNA
Source: RNAcentral
GACGAACGCUGGCGGCGUGCUUAACACAUGCAAGUCGAACGGAAAGGCCCUGCUUUUGUGGGGUGCUCGAGUGGCGAACGGGUGAGUAACACGUGAGUAACCUGCCCUUGACUUUGGGAUAACUUCAGGAAACUGGGGCUAAUACCGGAUAGGAGCUCCUGCUGCAUGGUGGGGGUUGGAAAGUUUCGGCGGUUGGGGAUGGACUCGCGGGUUAUCAGCUUGUUGGUGGGGUAGUGGCUUACCAAGGCUUUGACGGGUAGCCGGCCUGAGAGGGUGACCGGCCACAUUGGGACUGAGAUACGGCCCAGACUCCUACGGGAGGCAGCAGUGGGGAGUAUUGCACAAUGGGCGGAAGCCUGAUGCAGCAACGCCGCGUGCGGGAUGACGGCCUUCGGGUUGUAAACCGCUUUCGCCGGUGACGAAGCGUGAGUGACGGUAAUGGGUAAAGAAGCACCGGCUAACUACGUG